Long non-coding RNA from Planococcus citri (citrus mealybug), 1596 nucleotides. RefSeq lists it as uncharacterized. Lineage: Eukaryota; Metazoa; Arthropoda; Insecta; Hemiptera; Pseudococcidae. The transcript has 4 exons. The record is from RefSeq and is a predicted model, not a curated record.
GGAUAAAAACAUCUCAAUUUUGUUCUUUGAGGACUUUUUUGUUCUAACAAGUAACAAUUUAGAUAUCACCUGGUUUUAAAAAAAUCUCUCUCACACUCACACACUCACACAGUAACAGUAUUCAAUUAAGUACCGUUACUUGCGUCCAAUCUAUGUUUUCCCGCAACCUUUUUUUUCCAUUACUUAGAUACUACAAUAACCCCACACUUCUCCUUCUACUAACCUUUUUUAAAAUUAGGCACGUCUGUAAAAAAAAAAAAGUCCUUCUAUUUACCGUUACUUUUUCAUUGUUCCACCGAGUUCGUCUAUUUCUAGACCUGCUCGUUUAAACACCAGUUACUUAGAUCGUAAAUAAACUUAGUUCUGUAAUUUCUGGUUGUGAAAAUGUCGCGAAGUCUUUUGAUUUUACUCAUAGCAUUGGUUUCAAAUUCAGUCUAUUCUGUCGGUUUGGAAGUAUCCUAUAAAAACAAUUCGCUUGUGCCAAUCAACCUAAACAAAAUGUGUUCCGUGCCAUGUUUUGAUACAGCUGAUGAAGUUGAAUGGAUGGUGGAUGCGUACAAACCCGAUUAUUCAAUUCAGGUGGAUUCACCGAACAAAAAGUAUCUCAUAAUAAAAAAGGCUUCGAUCUAUGAUACUGGUGUUUAUACAUGCGUAUCUAAGAAGAACCCAGAUGUAUUUUCAAACAUUGUUGUUCACGUUAAAAUAUUCCCACGAAUCAAUGCUACUUAUGACCUACCAAUUGAAUUGUGUUGAUGUUCGAUAAAAUUUGAAGCACCAUUCAACUUCUUCGCCUAACCAAAAUACAGUACUACACCUAUCUCGUAUGUCAAAUUACGAGUGUAUACGAAUCACAUCUUCAUCGGUAAACCGUCAUUCAUAUGCAUGCAUCAUGAGAAGCUGAAAUGAAUAUUUUUCGUGAAUAUUAGUUCUUGUUCUUGAAGUUUACUGAACAUCACCGUCUAGAGAUUGAGAUUCUCUCGGGAGGGGGUAAGAUGAAACUUCCUUAAACAUAGAGUUUUUGCUCAUAUCUGCAUUGGAGUGCCAGAAGUGCAUCUUAAGAGAAAAUCAGUGGCGUUGAAACAUGUUCCUGAUGAAAAAUCCUAUGCGGAGAGUUCAUAACACUUUUUAAAAUUCUGUAAAACUUCAAAAAGACCCAUUUCCUUUUUCUUUCGUAUCAGCAAAAAAAAACACACACUUUCUGCAUGAACUUUCCGGGAAAGAAUUUUUCUCAAGGAACAUUUUUGAACAUAAUCGAUUCUUUACUAAGAUGCGUUUUUUUUUUGGAUUUAGGAAUGAAAAACACCUUAUUGAGGGAGUUAUACAAUACAUCCCCUAACGUAGAAUUGCUCGUAUAUUCGCCAGAAACCGCUAACUAUUUGAAGAACUAUUUUCUGAAAAAUCAAUUUCUUAUUUGAUUGGGCUUCUCUAGUACCAUACCCACCUUGGCAUAAAAUAAUUAAUUACAAAAUCGACUCUGUACUUUGUAUAAUUAACAAAAAAAAAUUGUAUUUGUAUGAUACUUACCUACUAAGUGUAACGUAAAAGUAUGUACUAAGGUGAUCAUUUUGAAAAUAUAUCCUUUCUCUUCUAGACGUA